RNAcentral lists this ribosomal RNA (274 nucleotides) under uncultured bacterium. Its description in RNAcentral is "partial 16S ribosomal RNA". It matches the Rfam family "Bacterial small subunit ribosomal RNA", at positions 523 to 796 of the family's 1533-position model. The record is from RNAcentral.
AUACGGAGGGUGCAAGCGUUACUCGGAAUCACUGGGCGUAAAGGACGCGUAGGCGGGUUGUCAAGUCUGAUGUGAAAUCCUAUGGCUCAACCAUAGAACUGCAUUGGAAACUGGCAACCUAGAGUAUGGGAGGGGGAGAUGGAAUUAGUGGUGUAGGGGUAAAAUCCGUAGAUAUCACUAGGAAUACCGAAAGCGAAGGCGAUCUCCUGGAACAUAACUGACGCUAAGGCGUGAAGGCGUGGGGAGCAAACGGGAUUAGAAACCCCGGUAGUCC